Molecule: transfer RNA, 71 nt
Filed under: Bryobacteraceae bacterium
Lineage: Bacteria; Pseudomonadati; Acidobacteriota; Terriglobia; Bryobacterales; Bryobacteraceae
Description: tRNA-Val
Rfam family: tRNA
About the family: Transfer RNA (tRNA) molecules are approximately 80 nucleotides in length. Their secondary structure includes four short double-helical elements and three loops (D, anti-codon, and T loops). Further hydrogen bonds mediate the characteristic L-shaped molecular structure. tRNAs have two regions of fundamental functional importance: the anti-codon, which is responsible for specific mRNA codon recognition, and the 3' end, to which the tRNAs corresponding amino acid is attached (by aminoacyl-tRNA synthetases). tRNAs cope with the degeneracy of the genetic code in two manners: having more than one tRNA (with a specific anti-codon) for a particular amino acid; and 'wobble' base-pairing, i.e. permitting non-standard base-pairing at the 3rd anti-codon position.
Source: RNAcentral
GUAGCUCAGUUGGUUAGAGCGCUUCCUUGACACGGAAGAGGUCGGUAGUUCGAGUCUACUCGGGUCCACCA